GCUGGGCAUGGUGGCGUAUGCCUGUAGUCCCAGCUAUUCCAGAGGCCGAGGUGGGAGGAUCACUUGAGCCCAGGAGCUCAAGGCUGCAGUGAGCCACAAUCAUGCCACUGCACCCCAGCCUGGGUGAGAGAGUGAGACCCUGUCUCAA
RNAcentral lists this non-coding RNA (148 nucleotides) under Homo sapiens (human). Lineage: Eukaryota; Metazoa; Chordata; Mammalia; Primates; Hominidae. The record is from Rfam by way of RNAcentral.